RNAcentral lists this ribosomal RNA (674 nucleotides) under uncultured Candidatus Poseidoniales archaeon. RNAcentral's name for it is "bacterial SSU rRNA". It matches the Rfam family "Archaeal small subunit ribosomal RNA", at positions 321 to 997 of the family's 1478-position model. The record is from RNAcentral. Lineage: Archaea; Methanobacteriati; Thermoplasmatota; Candidatus Poseidoniia; Candidatus Poseidoniales.
CCCUAUGGGGUGCAGCAGGCGCGAAAACUUCACACUGCGGGAAACCGCGAUGAGGGAAUUCCAAGUGUCUGGGGUAAGACCCAGUCUUUUCUUGACUCUUAAUAGGUCUUGGAAUAAGGGGGGGGUAAGACCGGUGCCAGCCGCCGCGGUAAUACCGGCCCCCCAAGUGGUCGUCACUUUUAUUGGGCCUAAAACGCCCGUAGCCGGUUUAGUAAACCCGUGGGUAAAUCAACCAGCUUAACUGGUUGAAUUCUGCGGAGACUGCUAGACUAGGGACCGGGAGAGGUACGAGGUACUCUUGGGGUAGGGGUAAAAUCCUGUCAUCCCAGGGGGACCACUUGUUGCGAAGGCGUCGUACUAGAACGGAUCCGACGGUCAGGGACGAAGCCUAGGGGCACGAACCGGAUUAGAUACCCGGGUAGUCCUAGGUGUAAACGCUGUGGACUUGGUGUUGGGGACUCUACGAGUGUCCCCAGUGCCGGAGUGAAGAUGUUAAGUCCACUGCCUGGGGAGUACGGUCGCAAGGCUGAAACUUAAAGGAAUUGGCGGGGAGCACAGCAACGAGAGGAGCGUGCGGUUUAAUUGGAUUCAACGCCGGAAAACUCACCAGUGCCGACGGACAUAUGAAGAUCAGCGUGAUGAGCUUAUUGGAUUGUUCGAGAAGUAGUGCAUGG